GAUGAACGCUGGCGGCGUGCCUAAUACAUGCAAGUCGAGCGAACAGACGAGGAGCUUGCUCCUCUGACGUUAGCGGCGGACGGGUGAGUAACACGUGGAUAACCUACCUAUAAGACUGGGAUAACUUCGGGAAACCGGAGCUAAUCCCGGAUAAUAUAUUGAACCGCAUGGGUCAAUAGUGAAAUACGGUUUUGCGGUCACUUAUAGAGGGAUCCGCGCCGCAUUAGCUAGUUGUUAAGGUAACGGCUUACCAAGGCAACGAUGCGUAGCCGACCUGAGAGGGUGAUCGGCCACAUUGGAACUGAGACACGGUCCAGAGGACUACGGGAGGGAGCAGUAGGGAAUCUUACGCAAUGGGCGAAAGCAUGACGGAGCAACGCCGCGUGAGUGAUGAAGGUCUUCGGAUCGUAAAACUCUGUUAUUAGGGAAGAACAAAUGUGUAAGUAACUAUGCACGUCUUGACGGUAACUAAUCAGAAAGCCACGGCUAACUACGUG
This 497-nucleotide ribosomal RNA is filed under the name uncultured bacterium. Its description in RNAcentral is "partial 16S ribosomal RNA". It matches the Rfam family "Bacterial small subunit ribosomal RNA", at positions 28 to 507 of the family's 1533-position model. The record is from RNAcentral.